Molecule: non-coding RNA, 76 nt
Organism: Bombyx mori (domestic silkworm)
Lineage: Eukaryota; Metazoa; Arthropoda; Insecta; Lepidoptera; Bombycidae
Source: Rfam
CACGGCAAAAGUUUUUUUGCAUAUCCUGCACAGUUUCAGUUCUCGCAGAGUACGCAAAAAACAAUUUUGACGUGAG